This is a non-coding RNA of Drosophila virilis, 635 nucleotides long. The record is from RefSeq and is a predicted model, not a curated record. Lineage: Eukaryota; Metazoa; Arthropoda; Insecta; Diptera; Drosophilidae.
UGCCCGCUGCUUGCGGACCAAAUCUUGGCAGUGCCAUCAAAAGAGCCCGUGAUGAUCUUGUCGCUAAACAACCCGCAACGCGAAGCAAUUACAUUUUUUGUACCCAUUUAAUUACAUUCCAAACACAUUUGGCAUAUUUUUAAAAUAUUUGCAUAAUUCACAUUGGACUUAGACAACUAAACAAUGGGAGUCCACAUACGUAUCCCAGGAAAUAGCACAUGAUCAAUAAAAAUUAAUGCUGCUUUCAAAAAUCAAAUUACUUACCAAAGCCCAUUUUAACCGAACUAGCUGAUUUGGUGCCUGUUGCAAAGACCAAGAAUUUCAUCUGCACAAGUUUAAAAAUUUAUGUAAGCCUUAAUGGAAAGAAAACUAGUUGGGUUUAUUCUUUUUGGAUAAAUAUAUCUUCAACAAAAUUGUAUGUAUUGCAUAGCAAAUACGGCAGUUAAAUGUAAUAUAAAGAUUGAUGUUUUAAAGAUAAUCAAUCAAUCUCUAUAUAUAUAAAACUGUUUUCCUGUCUGACACUAAGUACUGAAGUAACCUUCGACAUUUAAAUUUAGUUGACUUGCAAUUCUUAGUAAAGUUUAAGAAUUUGAACUUGGCAUACGCAAAUAUGCGUUGCUUCGUUUUCAUGUGCA